RNAcentral lists this ribosomal RNA (468 nucleotides) under uncultured bacterium. RNAcentral's name for it is "partial 16S ribosomal RNA". It matches the Rfam family "Bacterial small subunit ribosomal RNA", at positions 28 to 507 of the family's 1533-position model. The record is from RNAcentral.
GACGAACGCUGGCGGCGUGCUUAACACAUGCAAGUCGAACGGAAAGGCCCUGCUUUUGUGGGGUGCUCGAGUGGCGAACGGGUGAGUAACACGUGAGUAACCUGCCCUUGACUUUGGGAUAACUUCAGGAAACUGGGGCUAAUACCGGAUAGGAGCUCCUGCUGCAUGGUGGGGGUUGGAAAUUUUCGGCGGUUGGGGAUGGACUCGCGGCUUAUCAGUUUGUUGGUGGGGUAGUGGCUUACCAAGUCUUUGACGGGUAGCCGGCCUGAGAGGGUGAACGGCCACAUUGGGACUGAGAUACGGACCAGACUACUACGGGAGACAGCAGUGGGGAAUAUUGCACAAUGGGCGGAAGCCUGAUGCAGAAGCGCCGCGUGCGGGAUGACGGCCUUCGGGUUGUAAACCGCUUUCGCCUGUGACGAAGCGGGAGUGACGGUAAUGGGUAAAGAAGCACCGGCUAACUACGUG